This is a long non-coding RNA of Oxyura jamaicensis (ruddy duck), 393 nucleotides long. RefSeq lists it as uncharacterized. The transcript has 2 exons. NCBI's taxonomy places the organism in Eukaryota, Metazoa, Chordata, Aves, Anseriformes, Anatidae. The record is from RefSeq and is a predicted model, not a curated record.
AGCCUGGGUCUCCAAGCAUCGGCAGCGAAGAUCCCCCAAAACCCUCCUCGUAGUGUCAGCUGCCCCUCUGCUGGAUCAACCUGGCCAGGAAACAUCCCAAGGCACCAAGACCCCUCCGGGACCCCCAGCAGAGCCCCCCAGCUGCUCACCCACCCCCAGCUCCCCAGCAAGCCCCAUCACGACGCCGUGCUGAGCCCAGGGGGGGUGGAAAUCCCCAGGCCCCCGGGUGCCGGCUGUGCACGCUCCGUGGGCAGCCCCACCGAGCGCACCUGGCUGCUCUCGCCCCGAAUUCGCUGCCAGCUUUGCCCAACAAACCUCCCGGCUCCGGCAUUCCUGGCGGGGAAAGCAGGGAAAGGUUCAAAUGGAUGUUGGCUGGGAAAAGGGGGGGGAGAA